This 253-nucleotide ribosomal RNA is filed under the name uncultured bacterium. Its description in RNAcentral is "partial 16S ribosomal RNA". It matches the Rfam family "Bacterial small subunit ribosomal RNA", at positions 524 to 776 of the family's 1533-position model. The record is from RNAcentral.
UACAGAGGUCCCAAGCGUUGUUCGGAUUUAUUGGGCGUAAAGGGUGCGUAGGCGGCGGAGUAAGUUGGGUGUGAAAUCCCGGGGCUCAACCUCGGAACUGCAUUCAAUACUGCUUCGCUUGAGUACUGGAGAGGAGACUGGAAUUUACGGUGUAGCAGUGAAAUGCGUAGAUAUCGUAAGGAAGGCCGGUGGCGAAAGCGAGUCUCUGGACAGUUACUGACGCUGAUGCACGAAGGCCAGGGGAGCAAACAGG